Molecule: long non-coding RNA, 1160 nt
Filed under: Phascolarctos cinereus (koala)
Lineage: Eukaryota; Metazoa; Chordata; Mammalia; Diprotodontia; Phascolarctidae
Description: lncRNA (ENSPCIG00000014387.2)
Source: RNAcentral
UCCUACCUACCUCUCAAGAUUGUUAUGGGGACCAAAUAAAAUAUAUCUGAAAGUGAUUUGAAACACACAAGGUCAUGGUUAUCAUUACUUACAAAGGGAGGCAGUGCUGACUUAGUGCUGACAAUCUGUCUUGACUUUCUUCUUAGAGCAUAAGCUCCUGGUCGAGAAAAGAUUAUAGAUUUAGAGCCCCAACAAACCUUAGCUACCAUAGAGCCUGUGAGGACUAGAGAGGCUGUGACUUGUCUAGGGUCAUGCAGUUCAUAAGUGGAAGAGCUAGGAUUUGAACCCAGAUCGUCUGAUUCCAAGCCUGCCCACUCCCAUGGAUCACACUGGCUUCUGUAUCUAUAUGUUUAUACAAGAAUCAGAAGUGUAGAAUCCAGCAGUUAAAAAAUCACAGGGCUGUAGAAUUUUUGAGCUGAAAGGAACCUUUGGAGAUCAUCUAAUCUCAUAUCCUCUUUUUAGAGUAAAGUAACAUGCUUGAUGUCAGACAGCUCACUCAUGACAGUGCCAGGCCUAGAUCCUGAAUCUUCUGACACCUAGCCACUCCAGUGUGCUUUCCAGCACACCAUAAUGGUUAUUGAAUGGAGCCAACCUGAUGGUAACAGAGGGAGAAAACACAGAAGUGGGCAAGGUAAUAAUAUGCUGUCUGCCCAAUAGGUAGAGAGGCUCAAUAAACACUUGCUGGCAGGCCAGACAGCAGCCUCCUUGCCCUGACCAGAGAAGCAGCAGCAUUGCCACAAGGAGUCUCGGUGGUCCCAGCCUUCUUGCCUCGCACUGAACAAGCUCUAAGGGGCAUUUUUUCAAGCAUGGUUUUGGCAGCAGUACCUGGGCCUGAAGGGGAGAUUUGAGGGGGAUGCACCUGUUGCUUAUGUUUCUCCUCUAACUCCCCAGCCUCCCCUUUGGAUUUUUCCAGAGCUUUACCAUCCUGCAAGAUUGACAGCUCACUCUUAGUUGGGAACAGAAGAAACAACAAAAAGCCCAUACUUGUCUGUAUCCAGUGCUUGAGAUCAAGUCAAUUCAACUAGCAUUUAUUAAGCACCUACUCUGUGCCAGCCACUGUAGUAAGUGCUUGGGUUGCAAGAAAGACAAAGACAAUCCCUGAUGUCAAGGAACUGAAAAUGUCAUGGGGAAGACAACUUGCCAGACCAUGUUUCUGAACU